This 495-nucleotide ribosomal RNA is filed under the name uncultured bacterium. RNAcentral's name for it is "partial 16S ribosomal RNA". It matches the Rfam family "Bacterial small subunit ribosomal RNA", at positions 29 to 506 of the family's 1533-position model. The record is from RNAcentral.
AUGAACGCUGGCGGCGUGCCUAAUACAUGCAAGUCGAGCGCACGGACGAGAAGCUUGCUUCUCUGAUGUUAGCGGCGGACGGGUGAGUAACACGUGGAUAACCUACCUAUAAGACUGGGAUAACUUCGGGAAACCGUAGCUAAUACCGGAUAAUAUUUUGAACCGCAUGGUUCAAAAGUGAAAGACGGUCUUGCUGUCACUUAUAGAUGGAUCCGCGCUGCAUUAGCUAGUUGGUAAGGUAACGGCUUACCAAGGCAACGAUGCAUAGCCGACCUGAGAGGGGGAUGGGCCACACUGGAACUGAGACACGGCCCAGACUCCUACGGGAGGCAGCAGGAGGGAAUCUUCCGAAAUGGGCGGAAGCCUGACGGAGCAACGCCGCGUGAGUGAUGAAGGUCUGCGGAUCGGAAAACUCUGUUAUGAGGGAAGAACAUAUGUGUAAGUAACUGUGCACAUCUUGACGGUACCGAAUCAGAAAGCCACGGCUAACUACGG